GAAGGGAAAAGUUCAUAAGCCGACACUGUGGCAGCAAUGCCUCCGGCAAUGCACACUAGUACUUCAAGUAGAGGCAAUUCUACAGGGACAACAAUGCAUGAACAUAAACACUGGCAUCAAAUAAGUGCAUGCAUUCUUCAAGUCAAUCAACAUAUAUGUAGGCAUAUACCAUCUUCAACAAGUACCAGUGCCCCAUAUGUCACAGAAAAAUAUGGAGAUAAAAAAUUCUAACAUUCAAGGGAAGUAAAUGACGUACUUUUUCUGAGUUUCUACACUACCAAGAUCACUGUCGAGAACCGCAAUUUGAAAAGGUUGAUAAUCCAUGAUCUAUUGAACUUCAAAUGAGACCCAAAUUCAAUUGAGUCAAAUAACAGAACUUAUAGCACCAACAAGUUUCACUCCUACAUCAACAGUAUCCAACAAAAUAGAGUAAAUAACAGAAACCUACAAACAUAGAUAAUCAUGUGUCUGUCUGACAGAAAGCCUAAGAGGCAUAUUACAUCAAACAAAGAAACAUGAAACAUCCUACCUUAACAAGCCAAUCAGCGAAGACAGAACAAAAAUUACUGGCAUACUCAUUCUUUUCCAAAUUUUGAGAAACAUUUGUAAAAUGACGACUUUUAAGGAUAAUUUUGAUUUUGCCAAACUUAACCCUGGCUUGAAAUGUAGCAGUGGUGACAUUAUAUCAUUCAAUCAACUAUGUAUAAAAGUAAUGGCAUGUUAGGAAUUUCAAAAACUAAAACUAAAACUCUAAAAACUUGGAAUGGACGAAAAAGGUAAAUGUAUAUCUAAUUUGGUAGGGAGAGAGUAUGACAUAGUGCAAAGUGCCAACAGAACACACAAACUGAAACUACCCAUCAAGAAACCAAAGAAACAGUUACAAAAUAAAUAAACAUUCAAUCCCACAAUUGGGAAAUUCACAAAUUGCAGUAAAGCUAGUCAAUCAAUACCCAAUUCAUAUUCUCUAAAUUACAAGAAAUCACACCAAAAGAAUUAAGGUUAUUGAACUGAAACACUAUUUCAAAGCAACAAAUAACAGGAAUAUAACAAGAAUACAGGGUAAAAAAAUGAAAUUGGAUAAAAUUAUAUGAAAAUAUAAGAAACAAAGAUAUGGGGUUUAAGGGGAGAGAUUUAUACUGAUGAGAGCAGGAUUGUAAUGGUCGCUCUUUGUCUUAGCAUUAGCGAAGGCUUCAAGGGAGAGCCCUUUUCCUCCCAUUCUCAUCUUGUUCUUCUUCAUCGUCUUCUGAUUGAUUGAUUCAGGGCCAUUCAUUUUCUUCCAGUUUUCAUUAGGGCCAUUUUCAGACCAAUUCUUCAUUGUCGCGAUUUCUCCGUUAUUAUAACCACCGCGCCGACCACCAUGAGGACCCCCACGAAAAGAUCCACGAGGCCCACCAUAACCACCGCGACGACCACCAUGAUUUGGGUUAAAGAGGACCGAACUUGCUUAGAAAGACCCAAUUGCGUAAGGACCGAACUUGUACUGGCAAACGGACCGAAAGAGAGCAGAGAAAGGAACUUAAAAGGGGAUGAAUAACUAGGGUUUUGGUUUUGUGAGCGAAAGAGAGCAGAGAGAGAGAGUAGAUCUACACGAAGGAAACCGAAGUUCUGCACUGACGAGCCUUGGACAGAAAAAGACAGUAUGUUUUAAUUUUAAGUGUUC
Molecule: long non-coding RNA, 1660 nt
Filed under: Panax ginseng (ginseng)
Lineage: Eukaryota; Viridiplantae; Streptophyta; Magnoliopsida; Apiales; Araliaceae
Description: long non-coding RNA (PGIN_LNC016102)
Source: RNAcentral